AGAAUCUACCUUCAGGAUGGGGACAACCGUUGGAAACGACGGCUAAUCCCCAAUGCGCCGAGAGGUAAAAAGGGUUUCCGCCUGAAGAGGAGCUCGCGUCCGAUUAGUUAGUUGGUGGGGUAAGAGCCUACCAAGGCGUCGAUCGGUAGCUGGUCUGAGAGGAUGAGCAGCCACACUGGGACUGAGACACGGCCCAGACUCCUACGGGAGGCAGCAGUGGGGAAUUUUCCGCAAUGGGCGAAAGCCUGACGGAGCAACGCCGCGUGUGGGAAGAAGGCUUUUGGGCUGUCAACCACUUUUCUCAAGGAAGAAGUUCUGACGGUACUUGAGGAAUCAGCCUCGGCUAACUCCGUGCCAGCAGCCGCGGUAAUACGGAGGAGGCAAGCGUUAUCCGGAAUUAUUGGGCGUAAAGCGUCCGCAGGGGGCGCAUCAAGUCUGCUGUUAAAGGUCGGAGCUUAACUCCGGUGAGGCAGUGGAAACUGGUGCGCUAGAGGGCGACAGGGGUAGAGGGAAUUCCCAGUGUAGCGGUGAAAUGCGUAGAGAUUGGGAAGAACACCGGUGGCGAAAGCGCUCUACUGGGUCGCACCUGACCCUCAGGGACGAAAGCUAAGGUAGCGAAAGGGAUUAGAUACCCCUGUAGUCUUAGCCGUAAACGAUGGAUACUAGGCGUGGUUUGUAUCGACCCAAGCCGUGCCGAAGCUAACGCGUUAAGUAUCCCGCCUGGGGAGUACGCACGCAAGUGUGAAACUCAAAGGAAUUGACGGGGGCCCGCUCUAGCGGUGGAGGAUGUGGUUUAAUUCGAUGCAACGCGAAGAACCUUACCAGGGCUUGACAUCCCGAGAAGUCUGGGGAAAGUAGAGAUGUUGCCUUCCGGGUAACGCGCGAGAGCAGGUGGUGCAUGGCUGUCGUCAGCUCGUGUCGUGAGAUGUUGGGUUAAGUCCCGCAACGAGCGCAACCCUCGUCCUUAGUUGCCAGCAUUAAGUUGGGCACUCUAGGGAGACCGCCGGUGACAAACCGGAGGAAGGUGAGGAUGACGUCAAGUCAGCAUGCCCCUUAUGCUCUGGGCGACACACGUCCUACAAUGGUCGGGACAAAGGGGAGCCAGCUCGCGAGAGUAAGCGAAUCCCAUCAAACUCGGCCUC
This 1142-nucleotide ribosomal RNA is filed under the name uncultured organism. RNAcentral's name for it is "bacterial SSU rRNA". It matches the Rfam family "Bacterial small subunit ribosomal RNA", at positions 120 to 1289 of the family's 1533-position model. The record is from RNAcentral.